AUUGAACGCUGGCGGCAUGCCUUACACAUGCAAGUCGAACGGCAGCACGGGUGCUUGCACCUGGUGGCGAGUGGCGAACGGGUGAGUAAUACAUCGGAACAUGUCCUGUAGUGGGGGAUAGCCCGGCGAAAGCCGGAUUAAUACCGCAUACGAUCUACGGAUGAAAGCGGGGGCCCUUCGGGCCUCGCGCUAUAGGGUUGGCCGAUGGCUGAUUAGCUAGUUGGUGGGGUAAAGGCCUACCAAGGCGACGAUCAGUAUCUGGUCUGAGAGGACGACCAGCCACACUGGGACUGAGACACGGCCCAGACUCCUACGGGAGGCAGCAGUGGGGAAUUUUGGACAAUGGGCGAAAGCCUGAUCCAGCAAUGCCGCGUGUGUGAAGAAGGCCUUCGGGUUGUAAAGCACUGUUGUCCGGAAAGAAAUCCUUGGCCCUAAUACGGUCGGGGGAUGACGGUACCGGAAGAAUAAGCACCGGCUAACUACGUG
RNAcentral lists this ribosomal RNA (486 nucleotides) under uncultured bacterium. Its description in RNAcentral is "partial 16S ribosomal RNA". It matches the Rfam family "Bacterial small subunit ribosomal RNA", at positions 30 to 507 of the family's 1533-position model. The record is from RNAcentral.